CCUACGGGUGGCAGCAGUGAGGAAUAUUGGUCAAUGGACGAGAGUCUGAACCAGCCAAGUAGCGUGAAGGAUGACUGCCCUAUGGGUUGUAAACUUCUUUUAUAAAGGAAUAAAACGAGGCACGUGUGCCUUUUUGCAUGUACUUUAUGAAUAAGGAUCGGCUAACUCCGUGCCAGCAGCCGCGGUAAUACGGAGGAUCCGAGCGUUAUCCGGAUUUAUUGGGUUUAAAGGGAGCGUAGAUGGGUUGUUAAGUCAGUUGUGAAAGUUUGCGGCUCAACCGUAAAAUUGCAAUUGAUACUGGCAGUCGUGAGUACAGUUGAGGUAGGCGGAAUUCGUGGUGUAGCGGUGAAAUGCUGAGAUAUCACGAAGAACCCCGAUUGCGAAGGCAGCUUACUAAACUGUGACUGACAUUGAUGCUCGAAAGUGUGGGUAUCAAACAGGAUUAGAUACCCUGGUAGUC
This 460-nucleotide ribosomal RNA is filed under the name uncultured bacterium. RNAcentral describes it as "partial 16S ribosomal RNA". It matches the Rfam family "Bacterial small subunit ribosomal RNA", at positions 338 to 795 of the family's 1533-position model. The record is from RNAcentral.